This 887-nucleotide ribosomal RNA is filed under the name Lactiplantibacillus plantarum. RNAcentral's name for it is "bacterial SSU rRNA". It matches the Rfam family "Bacterial small subunit ribosomal RNA", at positions 54 to 907 of the family's 1533-position model. Lineage: Bacteria; Bacillati; Bacillota; Bacilli; Lactobacillales; Lactobacillaceae. The record is from RNAcentral.
CAUGCAGUCGAACGAACUCUGGUAUUGAUUGGUGCUUGCAUCAUGAUUUACAUUUGAGUGAGUGGCGAACUGGUGAGUAACACGUGGGAAACCUGCCCAGAAGCGGGGGAUAACACCUGGAAACAGAUGCUAAUACCGCAUAACAACUUGGACCGCAUGGUCCGAGUUUGAAAGAUGGCUUCGGCUAUCACUUUUGGAUGGUCCCGCGGCGUAUUAGCUAGAUGGUGGGGUAACGGCUCACCAUGGCAAUGAUACGUAGCCGACCUGAGAGGGUAAUCGGCCACAUUGGGACUGAGACACGGCCCAAACUCCUACGGGAGGCAGCAGUAGGGAAUCUUCCACAAUGGACGAAAGUCUGAUGGAGCAACGCCGCGUGAGUGAAGAAGGGUUUCGGCUCGUAAAACUCUGUUGUUAAAGAAGAACAUAUCUGAGAGUAACUGUUCAGGUAUUGACGGUAUUUAACCAGAAAGCCACGGCUAACUACGUGCCAGCAGCCGCGGUAAUACGUAGGUGGCAAGCGUUGUCCGGAUUUAUUGGGCGUAAAGCGAGCGCAGGCGGUUUUUUAAGUCUGAUGUGAAAGCCUUCGGCUCAACCGAAGAAGUGCAUCGGAAACUGGGAAACUUGAGUGCAGAAGAGGACAGUGGAACUCCAUGUGUAGCGGUGAAAUGCGUAGAUAUAUGGAAGAACACCAGUGGCGAAGGCGGCUGUCUGGUCUGUAACUGACGCUGAGGCUCGAAAGUAUGGGUAGCAAACAGGAUUAGAUACCCUGGUAGUCCAUACCGUAAACGAUGAAUGCUAAGUGUUGGAGGGUUUCCGCCCUUCAGUGCUGCAGCUAACGCAUUAAGCAUUCCGCCUGGGGAGUACGGCCGCAAGGCUGAACUCAUAGA